AGCAUUAGAGUCCCUUGUUCAUCUACAACAGGAUGGAUACUGUGUUUAUAGAGUUCAUUCUUGACCUUACCUGAGUGAACUGUCUGUGUGUGCUGCCCACCACCUUUUUAACCACUAGGACCACAGAGCCUAAUGACGACAACUAUACUGCUCUUACUCAUAGGACCAGAUCUGACUCCCAUGGACUUCAACAGCCAAGAUUAUUUCUCUAGGAAAAUAUGAUGCAACCAAGCAACAUGUAUGGAGCAGUCCCAUAUUACAGAACAGCAAAGAUGAACACAUCCAACUUUAUUAUUUCUUUUUCAAAAAUGACUCAUAACUAUUUGAUGUAAUGUGUCUCAUGUAAAUGUAUAAUGACCUGAAUAAAAAUAGUGAUGUGCAAU
Molecule: long non-coding RNA, 383 nt
Organism: Alligator sinensis (Chinese alligator)
Lineage: Eukaryota; Metazoa; Chordata; Crocodylia; Alligatoridae
Exons: 4
Source: RefSeq, a predicted model, not a curated record